GUCCUGGUCCAAAGUAGUGUAGUGGGAAAGGGCCCUGGUCCAAAGUAGUGCACUAUAUAGGAAAGGGGCCCUGGUCCAAAGUAGUGCACUAUAUAGGGAAAGGGUCCUGGUCCAAAGUAGUGCACUAUAUAGGGAAAGGGCCCUGGUCCAAAGUAGUGCACUAUAUAGGGAAUAGGGCCCUGGUCCAAAGUAGUGCACUAUAUAGGGAAUAGGGCCCUGGGCCAAAGUAGUGCACUAUAUAGGGAAUAGGGCCCUGGGCCAAAGUAGUGCACUAUAUAGGGAAUAGGGUCCUGGUCCAAAGUAGUGCACUAUAUAGGGAAUAGGGUCCUGGUCCAAAGUAGUGCACUAUAUAGGGAAUAGGGCCCUGGGCCAAAGUAGUGCUCUAUAUAGGGAAUAGGGUCCUGGUCCAAAGUAGUGCACUAUAUAGGGAAUAGGGCCCUGGUCCAAAGUAGUGCACUAUAUAGGGAAUAGGGUCCUGGUCCAAAGUAGUGCACUAUAUAGGGAAUAGGGCCCUGGUCCAAAGUAGUGCACUAUAUAGGGAAUAGGGCCCUGGUCCAAAGUAGUGCACUAUAU
Molecule: long non-coding RNA, 573 nt
Organism: Oncorhynchus tshawytscha (Chinook salmon)
Lineage: Eukaryota; Metazoa; Chordata; Actinopteri; Salmoniformes; Salmonidae
Source: Ensembl